GUCUACAGCCAUGCCACCCUGAACAAGCCCGAAAACAUCUGAUCUCGGAAGCUGAGCAGGGUUGGGCCUGGUUAGUACUUGGAUGGAAGACCACCUAGGAAGACCAGGUGCUGUAGGCA
This 119-nucleotide ribosomal RNA is filed under the name Pteropus alecto (black flying fox). Lineage: Eukaryota; Metazoa; Chordata; Mammalia; Chiroptera; Pteropodidae. The record is from RNAcentral.